Molecule: unclassified non-coding RNA, 211 nt
Filed under: plant metagenome
Description: partial contains small subunit ribosomal RNA, internal transcribed spacer 1, and 5.8S ribosomal RNA
Source: RNAcentral
UUUCCGUAGGUGAACCUGCGGAAGGAUCAUUCAUAAUAAAGUGUUUUAUGGCACUUUUUAAAAAUCCAUAUCCACCUUGUGUGCAAUGUUAGAUCUCGUCAAUCUUGGCGAGAUUUUUAUACAUCAACUCAUUCUUUAACUAAUUUGUCUGAAAAAUAUUAUAAAUACUUAAUUCAAAAUACAACUUUCAACAACGGAUCUCUUGGCUCUC